GAGUGAUCAAGUGUCUUAAGGGCAUUCGGUGGAUGCCUUGGCGACAAGAGGCGAUGAAAGACGUGAUACGCUGCGAUAAGCCAUGGGGAGCUGCGAAUAAGCUUUGAUCCGUGGAUUUCUGAAUGGGGCAACCCACUCCGUAUGGAGUACCCUUUAAUGGGAGCAAACCCGGGGAACUGAAACAUCUAAGUACCCGGAGGAAAGGACAUCAACCGAGACUCCGCUAGUAGUGGCGAGCGAACGCGGACCAGGCCAGUGCCUCAAUUGAAUUAACCGGAACCGUCUGGAAAGUCGGGCCUUAGUGGGUGAUAGCCCCGUACGGGUGUUGUGAGAUUGAGGACUUGAGUAGGGCGGGACACGUGAAAUCCUGUCUGAACAUGGGGGGACCACCCUCCAAGCCUAAGUA
This 406-nucleotide ribosomal RNA is filed under the name Alcanivorax sp. RNAcentral's name for it is "partial 23S ribosomal RNA". It matches the Rfam family "Bacterial large subunit ribosomal RNA", at positions 1 to 472 of the family's 2925-position model. Lineage: Bacteria; Pseudomonadati; Pseudomonadota; Gammaproteobacteria; Oceanospirillales; Alcanivoracaceae. The record is from RNAcentral.